Molecule: ribosomal RNA, 2787 nt
Filed under: Escherichia coli
Lineage: Bacteria; Pseudomonadati; Pseudomonadota; Gammaproteobacteria; Enterobacterales; Enterobacteriaceae
Description: bacterial LSU rRNA
Rfam family: Bacterial large subunit ribosomal RNA
Source: RNAcentral
AGCGUACACGGUGGAUGCCCUGGCAGUCAGAGGCGAUGAAGGACGUGCUAAUCUGCGAUAAGCGUCGGUAAGGUGAUAUGAACCGUUAUAACCGGCGAUUUCCGAAUGGGGAAACCCAGUGUGUUUCGACACACUAUCAUUAACUGAAUCCAUAGGUUAAUGAGGCGAACCGGGGGAACUGAAACAUCUAAGUACCCCGAGGAAAAGAAAUCAACCGAGAUUCCCCCAGUAGCGGCGAGCGAACGGGGAGCAGCCCAGAGCCUGAAUCAGUGUGUGUGUUAGUGGAAGCGUCUGGAAAGGCGCGCGAUACAGGGUGACAGCCCCGUACACAAAAAUGCACAUGCUGUGAGCUCGAUGAGUAGGGCGGGACACGUGGUAUCCUGUCUGAAUAUGGGGGGACCAUCCUCCAAGGCUAAAUACUCCUGACUGACCGAUAGUGAACCAGUACCGUGAGGGAAAGGCGAAAAGAACCCCGGCGAGGGGAGUGAAAAAGAACCUGAAACCGUGUACGUACAAGCAGUGGGAGCACGCUUAGGCGUGUGACUGCGUACCUUUUGUAUAAUGGGUCAGCGACUUAUAUUCUGUAGCAAGGUUAACCGAAUAGGGGAGCCGAAGGGAAACCGAGUCUUAACUGGGCGUUAAGUUGCAGGGUAUAGACCCGAAACCCGGUGAUCUAGCCAUGGGCAGGUUGAAGGUUGGGUAACACUAACUGGAGGACCGAACCGACUAAUGUUGAAAAAUUAGCGGAUGACUUGUGGCUGGGGGUGAAAGGCCAAUCAAACCGGGAGAUAGCUGGUUCUCCCCGAAAGCUAUUUAGGUAGCGCCUCGUGAAUUCAUCUCCGGGGGUAGAGCACUGUUUCGGCAAGGGGGUCAUCCCGACUUACCAACCCGAUGCAAACUGCGAAUACCGGAGAAUGUUAUCACGGGAGACACACGGCGGGUGCUAACGUCCGUCGUGAAGAGGGAAACAACCCAGACCGCCAGCUAAGGUCCCAAAGUCAUGGUUAAGUGGGAAACGAUGUGGGAAGGCCCAGACAGCCAGGAUGUUGGCUUAGAAGCAGCCAUCAUUUAAAGAAAGCGUAAUAGCUCACUGGUCGAGUCGGCCUGCGCGGAAGAUGUAACGGGGCUAAACCAUGCACCGAAGCUGCGGCAGCGACGCUGAUGCGUUGUUGGGUAGGGGAGCGUUCUGUAAGCCUGCGAAGGUGUGCUGUGAGGCAUGCUGGAGGUAUCAGAAGUGCGAAUGCUGACAUAAGUAACGAUAAAGCGGGUGAAAAGCCCGCUCGCCGGAAGACCAAGGGUUCCUGUCCAACGUUAAUCGGGGCAGGGUGAGUCGACCCCUAAGGCGAGGCCGAAAGGCGUAGUCGAUGGGAAACAGGUUAAUAUUCCUGUACUUGGUGUUACUGCGAAGGGGGGACGGAGAAGGCUAUGUUGGCCGGGCGACGGUUGUCCCGGUUUAAGCGUGUAGGCUGGUUUUCCAGGCAAAUCCGGAAAAUCAAGGCUGAGGCGUGAUGACGAGGCACUACGGUGCUGAAGCAACAAAUGCCCUGCUUCCAGGAAAAGCCUCUAAGCAUCAGGUAACAUCAAAUCGUACCCCAAACCGACACAGGUGGUCAGGUAGAGAAUACCAAGGCGCUUGAGAGAACUCGGGUGAAGGAACUAGGCAAAAUGGUGCCGUAACUUCGGGAGAAGGCACGCUGAUAUGUAGGUGAAGUCCCUCGCGGAUGGAGCUGAAAUCAGUCGAAGAUACCAGCUGGCUGCAACUGUUUAUUAAAAACACAGCACUGUGCAAACACGAAAGUGGACGUAUACGGUGUGACGCCUGCCCGGUGCCGGAAGGUUAAUUGAUGGGGUUAGCGCAAGCGAAGCUCUUGAUCGAAGCCCCGGUAAACGGCGGCCGUAACUAUAACGGUCCUAAGGUAGCGAAAUUCCUUGUCGGGUAAGUUCCGACCUGCACGAAUGGCGUAAUGAUGGCCAGGCUGUCUCCACCCGAGACUCAGUGAAAUUGAACUCGCUGUGAAGAUGCAGUGUACCCGCGGCAAGACGGAAAGACCCCGUGAACCUUUACUAUAGCUUGACACUGAACAUUGAGCCUUGAUGUGUAGGAUAGGUGGGAGGCUUAGAAGUGUGGACGCCAGUCUGCAUGGAGCCGACCUUGAAAUACCACCCUUUAAUGUUUGAUGUUCUAACGUUGACCCGUAAUCCGGGUUGCGGACAGUGUCUGGUGGGUAGUUUGACUGGGGCGGUCUCCUCCUAAAGAGUAACGGAGGAGCACGAAGGUUGGCUAAUCCUGGUCGGACAUCAGGAGGUUAGUGCAAUGGCAUAAGCCAGCUUGACUGCGAGCGUGACGGCGCGAGCAGGUGCGAAAGCAGGUCAUAGUGAUCCGGUGGUUCUGAAUGGAAGGGCCAUCGCUCAACGGAUAAAAGGUACUCCGGGGAUAACAGGCUGAUACCGCCCAAGAGUUCAUAUCGACGGCGGUGUUUGGCACCUCGAUGUCGGCUCAUCACAUCCUGGGGCUGAAGUAGGUCCCAAGGGUAUGGCUGUUCGCCAUUUAAAGUGGUACGCGAGCUGGGUUUAGAACGUCGUGAGACAGUUCGGUCCCUAUCUGCCGUGGGCGCUGGAGAACUGAGGGGGGCUGCUCCUAGUACGAGAGGACCGGAGUGGACGCAUCACUGGUGUUCGGGUUGUCAUGCCAAUGGCACUGCCCGGUAGCUAAAUGCGGAAGAGAUAAGUGCUGAAAGCAUCUAAGCACGAAACUUGCCCCGAGAUGAGUUCUCCCUGACUCCUUGA